GCUCACUACACGUACCUAACCUUCCCUUAAGUCAAGGAUACCCUCGGAAAACUGAGGUUAAUACUUGAUAGGAAAUAUACCCUGAAAUGAUUUAUCUCUAAAACUCGUGCUUAAGGAUGGGGCUGCGGAAAAUUAGGUUGUUGGCGGGGUAAUGGCCCACCAAGCCUUUGAUCUGUAAGGCUUCUUAGCGAAAAGGCCCUGAGAGGAAAUCUAAAACAUUAUUCCCACCCCUACGGGGUGCAGCAGUUAGAAAUAAUCUACAAUGCGCGCAAGCGUGAUAUUUUGAGCCAAAUUGUUUAUCUAUUGAUAAGUUUUUGCCAAGUGAAAAAAGCCUGGCAAAUAAGGACUGGGUAAAACAAGUGCCACCCGCCGCGGUAAUACUCGCGGUCCAAGUCCCACCCACUUUUAUUGGGUCAAAAACAUCCGUAGCUUGCUUAGUAAGUUUCUUGUGAAAUUCUAUAUCUUAAGUAUAGAGCGUGCAAAAAUUACUGUUGAGCUAAAGACUGAAAAACGUAGGAAGUACUUUUGAAGUAGCGGUAAAUUGUUUUGAUCUCAGAUGGACUCACGAUAGCGAAGGCUUCCUACAAGGACAGUUCUGACAGUAAGGAAUGAAGGCUAGGGCCGCAAAAGGAAUUAAAUACCCCUGUAUUCCUAGCAGUAAACACUGCACGCUAAACAUCACUACCUCCUCAAGAGGUAUUGUUGCUGUAGGGAAGCCGUAGAGUGUGCUACCUGGGAAGUAUAGUCGCAAGGCCAAAACUCAAAGGAAU
RNAcentral lists this ribosomal RNA (770 nucleotides) under uncultured euryarchaeote. RNAcentral describes it as "bacterial SSU rRNA". It matches the Rfam family "Archaeal small subunit ribosomal RNA", at positions 83 to 865 of the family's 1478-position model. The record is from RNAcentral. Lineage: Archaea; Methanobacteriati; Methanobacteriota.